RNAcentral lists this ribosomal RNA (314 nucleotides) under uncultured eukaryote. Its description in RNAcentral is "partial 18S ribosomal RNA". It matches the Rfam family "Eukaryotic small subunit ribosomal RNA", at positions 1470 to 1796 of the family's 1831-position model. The record is from RNAcentral.
CCCUUAGAUGUCCUGGGCUGCACGCGCGCUACACUGAUGUGUCCAGUAAGCACCUAACCUCUUCCGAAAGGAACGGGUAACCUUUGCAAAGCACAUCGUGAUGGGGAUAGAUUAUUGCAAUUAUUAGUCUUGAACGAGGAAUUCCUAGUAAGCACAAGUCAUCAGCUUGUGUUGAUUACGUCCCUGCCCUUUGUACACACCGCCCGUCGCUCCUACCGAUGAGUCGUCCGGUGAAGUUCGUAGACCUCGUGAUCGCGGAUCACUGGGGGAAGCAAAAUGAACCUCGCGGUUUAGAGGAAGGAGAAGUCGUAACA